Molecule: long non-coding RNA, 1443 nt
Organism: Tribolium castaneum (red flour beetle)
Lineage: Eukaryota; Metazoa; Arthropoda; Insecta; Coleoptera; Tenebrionidae
Exons: 6
Source: RefSeq, a predicted model, not a curated record
AACAAAAGAAGCUUGAUUGCAUCAUUGUGGUAGUUUUUCCUCAAGCUUUACAACAUGAAAAAUCAUUUAUCCGCAGUUAUUUUCUCAAAUAAUUGUGACAAAAGUGAUGAAAAUCGUUCGGUCUUUGUGUGGAUUGCAUAAGUCAGGAGCCAGUUAACAUUUCCAAGACGCAUGGUGGCUUUUCCGAGAGGUUUUGCAACAUGAAAAAUCUGUGAUCAUCGGUUAUUUUCUCAAAUAACUGAGAAAAAGUGACAAUUGUUCGGCGAUUCUCCGGCUUGUAGAAAUUAGAAGCAGUUUGAAAUGUUUUCAAAACUUCUGAUUUUUUGACCACUAAAGAGUAAAGAAACAAUACAUAAAGUAUUGUAAAACAAAAACAUUCACCGCAAAAUCAAACCUAUUCUUUCAAAUAAAAUAGUAACUCCAGUGACUAGUGCGUGUUGUGGUUUUCCAGAGCUUGACAAACAUUCAGUGGUGCGCGAUUUUUAAAAUUUCGAGUAAUUAGUGUGCCCAUAGAAAGGAUCUUCAAAGAAAAAGGACGAAAUUAUCGUGCCACAAGGAACUGGAUUAAAGGGUUAGUUGGCUAAUUCUAAUUUAUGAGAGUUUUCUCGUUUCUAAGCAAGGAAUCGUACGAAAUAAGCCGUUUUCAACCAAACUGGAGCAUAAAUCAUUAUUUCCUGCCAGAAUUAGCUGUUUUCAAAGGGUUUUCAGUGUUAAGCAAAAAGUUGUGUAUAAUGGAUCGUUUUCUUUCAAACUACUGCUAGAUCUAUUCUAAGAAGAAGAAGAAGAAGAAGGGUCGACAAAAAUGGGACAGGGUGAGUAAAUUUUAUUUUUUUCUUUGCUUAUCUUACAAGUGUGGUGUGUGAUUUGAAAGUGCAGUGUUUUUCAUGACGCAGUUAGGUAAGUAAUAUGUCUUAAAAUAUGAGGUAAAGUUAAUAACUGUGUUGUAGAUGAGGGACGUAUUAUUUUUCUGAACAUCUAUUAAAAAAUUUUAGAUGACGAGGACACAUUUUGUAUGUUUAUAGGAAACUUCCAAACUUUUAAUUAUUAACGAAACAUUAUCUUCUGGCAUCAAAAUCAAGAAGUAUUAUAACCAAAGUGCCCGCAAGUGCGUGUUGUGAAUUUUUUCAGUGUUUAACUGACAUUCAGUUGUGCGCGUUUUUUCAAAUUUCGAGUGACGAAAGUACCAGUGAAAUGGAUCUUCAAGGACAUCGGACGAAAUAAUCGUGUUAGGAGGAUCCGGAUUAAAGGUAGGUCUACUUUAAGAAGAAGACGAGACGAGUAUUCCACAGGGUGAGUUAAUUUGAUUUUUUUCUUUGCUUUUCUUACAAGUGAGGUGUGUGAAUAUGUGAUUUGCAAGUGCAAUAUUUUUUAUGACCCAGUUAGGUAAGUAAUAAUAUUUAUUAAAAUAUGAGGUGAAAUUAAUAAUUGUUUUAGAUGAGAAAC